UCCUUCUUCUUUCUUCCUCCUCCUCCUUCCUGGUUGGCCGCACGCCAGAUGUGGCGGAACCGCCCAACUUAAGCUGGUUUAAGUGCGCCUAAUUGCUGUCGGAACAGCAAUUAUCCGAAACGCACCUAAAACAGCAUAAGUCCGGUAGUCCGUCGAGUGUCCCUAGGACUCCUCGAAGGAUCCACGACGUGUCUCAUAGCCAUACAUCAGGAUAAUAUCCGCGAUGGGAUAAUAUCAACAAAUAUUACAUUUUUAAAGACAUAUCAGAGGUACGAUAUAUUACAACCAUAGUUUGAAACAAUUUAGUCAUGCAGGUCAGUGUGGUUCUAAGAAUUUAAAACCAGUCUGGAAGAAAAAAAAAACAAAUAUUUAAGUUUCAAUCUAGAGUAUCAUGAGACUCAUAAGAUACCCUAGGUCUUCGGGGCUUCCUCUUCGGUGAGUCCCUGCUGGCUUUCUGAAAACAACAACAAGGGAUCCCCUGAGUACGAAGUACUCAGCAAGUCUUACCCGACUAACCAAUAUAAUAGCUUUUCUUUGGAAUGCAUGUUAGCCUUUGGGUGUGCUUGGUUGACACAAUUUUUGCCGAAAAAGCUUACUAUGAGUGAGACCUUAGUUUUAUCUUUUAUUUGAGUUAAGUCAUUACCUAAACAUUCUAGAUGAUAACAGAAGUAAAAUAAUCACAGCUGUUAAAUCAUACAGUACUUGGCAACAGAAGAUUUUAUAUCGCAUGAGUUCAUGCUACGAAGCUUAACAGCGAUCAAGUGCAUUCAUAACCAAGAAUUGCGGCGAUCCGGAUCUAAUUACAUCCUGCAGGAGAGUACCCUGAUCACCAGCAAUAUACGACUGUUCCGGUCGUAUCUCACAACCUCUCGAUUAGCAAAGUCAAUGAUUAGGAAUACAACUACCCGGACCCAGGGAUGCACCCCCACAUGGGACCCCACGUCUGGCCUGAUCUCCAUGUGAGUUUCAGGCUACACCCCUGCCAAUCUCCAGCACGUCAAAUGCGGGUACGAAGCAUUCCUGAUCAUAGAAUUUACUAAUCUACUGGGCUUUACUGGUCCCAUACCCAGUAAGUGAUCAGAUGUUAUCACUUGAUCAAUGGUUAAGACACGAUUCGGUCCUUAACCAGAUUAAUCUAACAGACAGAACUACACCUCUAGCUUCUGUCCCUUUCCAUAUCCCAAACUGUCCUUCAUAAGCAACAUGUAUGACUUAAGAGUUUUCCUUAAGGUUAGUAAACCAAUCAUGUAAGCAAGUAAGCAAUUCUAGACUUGGGUAGUUUCUAAGGUUUGAACAAGUGGCAAAGAUGUCCUUAAAUCAAGGCAUGAUCAUACACAAGAAUAGGUUUCAUUCAACUCCUAGACUUAGUGCAUACAUAUAGCAAAUAACCGAUAACUGGACACAUGAAAUAAUGACUCCAAAAUAGAUAGGUAUAGAUGCACCGGGGCUUGCCUGGGAUCAACAAAGGUUAGUUCUUCGGAAAACUUGUUUAUUGAAAGAGGCACUCCACACUUCGCGAACGCUGUCCAUCUCCAGCUGAAUUCCAUGAAUUCCCACUCCAGGAGUUGUGACGUCUACGAUUCAGUAUAUGCAAAGUUAGAGAUGCAAACUUUUGAAUACAAGACUAUACAACUUUCCUUCAUGAUAAAGUUGCAAGCCAACACACAAAAACCCGAAAAGAUUAGCCCACCAUUUAUUUCCUUUACUAAACCUACCUUAGACCUUUUUAUUUAUUUUUAAAAGCAUUAUAAUAAUUUUCUAAUCUCAAAAACCUAAUUCCUAUGAAUUAAUAUUAAUUUGUGGAUAAUAAAGCAUUUUUCAAGUUUUAUACAUUUAAUAAAGUUUAAGCAUUUAUUUAAAUACCUUACACAAAAAGGCAUUAAAUAAAUACCUAAUUUUUUAUUAUUUUUCCUAGGGUUUAAGAAUUUUAAUGCAUAAAGAAAAAUAAAACAAUCCUAAAAAAAUUGGUUUCACUAAUUUUGGGUACUUCUAGAAUUUCAUGUGAAUUAAAUGGUGAAAACAGCAUUUAAUUUAUUUAUCUAGUAAAAGAAAAACCUAAGGUUUAUUUAUAAACCCCCGGCCCAAACUUCUCUCAACUAACCUUCUUCUACCCACUAUUACUUCCACCUAGGGCCCAUCUGGUCUCCUAUUUUCUCCCUCUUUUCUUCACUGACAAGUGGGGCCCACGGCCGAAAUCUUCCCUUGGGCCGGUUCCCCCUUCUCUCUUCUUGUUCAAUUCCGGCCGGCCCAUCUCUUCUUUUUCUUUUCUUUCGCCGACAAUCAGCCUGCUUAAUCCGGCCCAUGGCCUUUCUCUCCUCCGCCGGUCCCCUUCUUCUUUUCCACUCCACCUGGGCCGCACGGUCCAUUUCCUUUCAAGCCAUCGGGCAGCCCACCGGCUUCCCCUUUUCCUUUUACUCGCGCGGGUCAGCUGGGCCAAUUCCUCCCCUUGGCCCAAAAUGGGUGACCGGUCCCUUAUCCUCCUUGCGCCUGCCCCCUUCUCCUCUUAUGCCGCGCGGGCCAGUUGGGCCGCGCCUUUCCUCGGCCCAAAACGGCGGCUGGCCUGCUCCUUCUCUCCGCUUCACCUGGGCCUUUCCCACCGAGGCUUGGCCUCCCGGCCCAAGUUUACCAACCGGCCUGCCUCUCCUCCCUUUCUCCUUCCAAUCCCCUGGCGCCUCUUCUUCCUCCCUGCGCUCAGAACAGGGGCGCACGCCGGCGGGGCAAAACGGGACGGGCCCCGGCCAACGGCGGCUCGCCGGCCGCCGAGAGGGACGGGGUGGCGGCGCCCCAGGCCAGGCGCACCCGCGCCCACCGUCAGCUCGCCAGUAGGUGGCCCGAGCCGGCCCCUCCACGGGCGGCUGCGGCUUGGCCAACCGCCGGCCAUGGCGGCGCAUGUUGGCGGCACAAGGACGACCGGCGGCGCAUUCUACGGCAUCCACAUGACCCAAGCACCCCCUAAACCCGAUCAAAAGAGUGAAAGAAGGGGCGGUGCGGAGGGCUCACCGGAGGACAGUGGUAGCGGCGGGCGGACCGGAGAUGCGGCCGAAACUUGAGCUCGACGACGGAAAACUGAGCAACGGAGCGGCGUGGGGCGUUGAGGAGGAUCUUGCGGAACCUCGGGUGGGUGGAAUCGCAAGGAGAAGCAGCGGCGUGGGUGAAUCGGUCGGAGGCGACACUGAUUUGCUUGAACUUGUUCCUGGCAAAGUAAAACGGCGGGAUGAAACGGAUAAGCGCGGGGGAUAGCGAUGUCGUGAUCUUUCCAUCGCGCAUGCGUGCCACCUCGACAAUUUGAACGCCUGCGUGAGCGUGGACGUGGCCGUGUGCUGGCCGGCGAUUCAAGAUGCCGGCGGCGGCACGGCUCUCCCCUGUUCUGAUCUUUUCUUCAUUUCUUCUUAUCCCUUCCCAUCCGAUAGGUUUACGCUUCAAUUACUCAAACCUUUUGAUCCCAACUCGCAGAAAUCCUGUAAGAAAACUUGUAGAUUAAUCCGAGCACUUCAAUUGAUAGAUGGGCCUUU
This 3512-nucleotide long non-coding RNA is filed under the name Setaria viridis. RNAcentral describes it as "long non-coding RNA (SVIR_LNC001638)". The record is from RNAcentral. Lineage: Eukaryota; Viridiplantae; Streptophyta; Magnoliopsida; Poales; Poaceae.